ACAUACAAUAGAGUACGUUAUAACCCUUUGCAUAGAAAGGUCUGGU
This 46-nucleotide ribosomal RNA is filed under the name Aspergillus awamori. The record is from RNAcentral. Lineage: Eukaryota; Fungi; Ascomycota; Eurotiomycetes; Eurotiales; Aspergillaceae.